RNAcentral lists this ribosomal RNA (429 nucleotides) under Chloroflexota bacterium. RNAcentral's name for it is "Chloroflexi bacterium partial 16S ribosomal RNA". It matches the Rfam family "Bacterial small subunit ribosomal RNA", at positions 355 to 776 of the family's 1533-position model. Lineage: Bacteria; Bacillati; Chloroflexota. The record is from RNAcentral.
UGGGGAAUAUUGCACAAUGGGCGCAAGCCUGAUGCAGCCAUGCCGCGUGUAUGAAGAAGGCCUUCGGGUUGUAAAGUACUUUCAGCUGGGAGGAAGGGAGUAAAGUUAAUACCUUUGCUCAUUGACGUUACCCGCAGAAGAAGCACCGGCUAACUCCGUGCCAGCAGCCGCGGUAAUACGGAGGGUGCAAGCGUUAAUCGGAAUUACUGGGCGUAAAGCGCACGCAGGCGGUCUGUCAAGUCGGAUGUGAAAUCCCCGGGCUCAACCUGGGAACUGCAUUCGAAACUGGCAGGCUAGAGUCUUGUAGAGGGGGGUAGAAUUCCAGGUGUAGCGGUGAAAUGCGUAGAGAUCUGGAGGAAUACCGGUGGCGAAGGCGGCCCCCUGGACAAAGACUGACGCUCAGGUGCGAAAGCGUGGGGAGCAAACAGG